This 522-nucleotide ribosomal RNA is filed under the name Metapseudomonas otitidis. RNAcentral's name for it is "bacterial SSU rRNA". It matches the Rfam family "Bacterial small subunit ribosomal RNA", at positions 76 to 594 of the family's 1533-position model. The record is from RNAcentral. Lineage: Bacteria; Pseudomonadati; Pseudomonadota; Gammaproteobacteria; Pseudomonadales; Pseudomonadaceae.
GAGCUUGCUCCAUGAUUCAGCGGCGGACGGGUGAGUAAUGCCUAGGAAUCUGCCUGGUAGUGGGGGAUAACGUUUCGAAAGGAACGCUAAUACCGCAUACGUCCUACGGGAGAAAGUGGGGGAUCUUCGGACCUCACGCUAUCAGAUGAGCCUAGGUCGGAUUAGCUAGUUGGUGGGGUAAUGGCCCACCAAGGCGACGAUCCGUAACUGGUCUGAGAGGAUGAUCAGUCACACUGGAACUGAGACACGGUCCAGACUCCUACGGGAGGCAGCAGUGGGGAAUAUUGGACAAUGGGCGAAAGCCUGAUCCAGCCAUGCCGCGUGUGUGAAGAAGGUCUUCGGAUUGUAAAGCACUUUAAGUUGGGAGGAAGGGCAGUAAGUUAAUACCUUGCUGUUUUGACGUUACCAACAGAAUAAGCACCGGCUAACUUCGUGCCAGCAGCCGCGGUAAUACGAAGGGUGCAAGCGUUAAUCGGAAUUACUGGGCGUAAAGCGCGCGUAGGUGGUUCAGCAAGUUGGAUG